Molecule: long non-coding RNA, 307 nt
Filed under: Gossypium raimondii (Peruvian cotton)
Lineage: Eukaryota; Viridiplantae; Streptophyta; Magnoliopsida; Malvales; Malvaceae
Description: long non-coding RNA (GRAI_LNC009815)
Source: RNAcentral
CUUAUGUUGCCACUGUUCAAAUCCGAAUUAAAAACAAUUUUUUGUCUCAGUGGGAAAUUAAAUUUUGAAAAUCGAGGCUGGUUUAUGAUAUUUGUAAGGGCCCCAUUUUUUCUGGCCCAAAUAAGAAACCAAAAAUAUAAAUAAAAAAAUAAAAAAAUCAAAUAAAAAGUCCAAGUCCAAUUACAAAAAACGGCCCAAAUACAAAAAAUCCCAAGGCCCAAAAUAUAACCUAACCUUAAAACCUAAUAACCCAGGCCCAAACUACCAAUAGUCCACAACCUUAAGUUUUCCGAAAGCUAAAAAAAAC